CAGCUGGUGGCGGAUGUUGGCGAUGCUCUCGGCAUUGGCCAUCUUGCCGGCCAGGAUGUAGGCCGGAUCGCCACCGACCCAGUUGA
This 86-nucleotide transfer RNA is filed under the name Duganella sp. HH101. RNAcentral describes it as "tRNA-Glu". Lineage: Bacteria; Pseudomonadati; Pseudomonadota; Betaproteobacteria; Burkholderiales; Oxalobacteraceae. The record is from RNAcentral.